RNAcentral lists this long non-coding RNA (1161 nucleotides) under Taeniopygia guttata (zebra finch). RNAcentral's name for it is "lncRNA (ENSTGUG00000024817.1)". The record is from RNAcentral. Lineage: Eukaryota; Metazoa; Chordata; Aves; Passeriformes; Estrildidae.
AUGGGGGAAAUUUGGGGGAAAAUUGGGGAAAUUUGGGGGGAAAUUGGGGAAAGUUGGGGAAAAUUGGGGGAAAAUUGGGGAAAUUUGGGGGAAAUUGGGGGGAAAUUGGGGAAAAUAAUGGGGGAAAUUCGGGGGGACAUUGAGGAGAUUUGGGUGAAAAUUGAGGAAUUUGGGGUAAAUUUGGGGGGAAUUUUGGGGAAAAUUGGGAGAAAAUUGGGGGGAAAUGGGGGUGAAAUGGGGGGAAAGGGGAAAUUUGGGGGGAAAUUUUGGAAUUUGGUGGAAAAUGGGGAAAUUUUGUGGAAAAUUGGGGAGAUUUGGGGGAAAUUCGGAGAAAUUUUUGAAAAUUGGGGAAAAUUGGGGAAAUUUGGGGGAAAUUGGGGGAAAAUUGGGGAAAUUUGGGGGAAAUGGGGGGAAAAUUGGGGAAAUUUGGGGGAAAUUGGGGAAAUUUGGGGGAAAUUGGGGAAAUUUGGGGGAAAAUUGGGGAAAAACUGGGGGAAUAUGGGGGAAAAUUGGGGAAAAUUGGGGAAAUGUGGGGGGAAAUUGGGGGAAAUUGGGGGAAACUUGAGAGAAUUUGGUGGGAAAUUUGGGGGGGAAUUGGGGAAAAUUGGGGAGAUUUGGGGGAAAUUCGUAGAAAUUUUUGAAAAUUGGGGGAAAAUUGGGGAAAAUUGGGGAAAAUUGGGGGAAAUUUGGGGGGAAAAUUGGGGGGAAAUUGGGGAAAUUUGGGGGGAAAUUGGGGAAAGGGGAAAUUUGGGAAAAUUUGGGGGGAAAUUGUGGAAUUUGGUGGAAAAUUGGGAAAUUUUGUGGAAAAUUUUUGGGGAAAUUCAGAGAAAUGUCAGAAAAUUGGGGAAAUUUGGGGAAAUUGGGGGGAAAUUGGGGGGAAAUUGGGGGGAAAUUGGGGGAAAUUUGGGGGAAAUUUCGGGGAAAAUUAGGGGGAAAUUGGGGAAAUUUGGAGGAAAAUUGGGGGAAAUUGGGGGAAAAAUGGGGGGAAUUGGUGGGAAAUUGGGGAAAUUUGGGGAAACUGGGGAGGAAAUGGGGAGAAAGGGGAAAAUUUUUGGGGAAAAUUGGGGAAAUUUGAUGGGAGAAUUUGGGGGAAAAUUUGGGGGGAAAUUUGGGGGAAUUUGGGGGAAAUGUGAAGAAAAUUGGGGGGUUUGGAGGAAUUAA